This 602-nucleotide ribosomal RNA is filed under the name uncultured bacterium. RNAcentral's name for it is "bacterial SSU rRNA". The stretch from base 1 to 521 matches the Rfam family "Bacterial small subunit ribosomal RNA", at positions 338 to 873 of the family's 1533-position model. The record is from RNAcentral.
CCUACGGGAGGCAGCAGUGGGGAAUAUUGGGCAAUGGAGGAAACUCUGACCCAGCGACGCCGCGUGCGGGAUGAAGGCCUUCGGGUUGUAAACCGCUUUCAGCAGGGAAGAAGCGAAAGUGACGGUACCUGCAGAAGAAGCACCGGCUAACUAUGUGCCAGCAGCCGCGGUAAUACAUAGGGUGCAAGCGUUGUCCGGAAUUAUUGGGCGUAAAGAGCUCGUAGGUGGUUCGUCACGUCGGAUGUGAAAAUCUGGGGCUUAACCCCAGACCUGCAUUCGAUACGGGCGAGCUUGAGUAUGGUAGGGGAGUCUGGAAUUCCUGGUGUAGCGGUGGAAUGCGCAGAUAUCAGGAGGAACACCAAUGGCGAAGGCAGGACUCUGGGCCAUUACUGACACUGAGGAGCGAAAGCGUGGGGAGCGAACAGGAUUAGGAUACCCUGGUAGUCCACGCCGUAAACGGUGGGCACUAGUUGUGGGGACCUUCCACGGUCUCUGCGACGCNGCUACGCAUAGUGCCCGCCGUGGGAGGUACGAGCGCGAGAGUAAACUACAAGUUAGUUAGUAGAGUUGAGAGNGCGACGACGACGACGACGGAGGAGGAG